Tricholoma furcatifolium is the source of this 110-nucleotide non-coding RNA. The record is from the annotation of a GenBank genome assembly. NCBI's taxonomy places the organism in Eukaryota, Fungi, Basidiomycota, Agaricomycetes, Agaricales, Tricholomataceae.
GGUGAGAUGGCCGAGCGGUCCAAGGCGCCAGACUAAGGUUAUAAGGUUCUAUCUUGUGCCAAGGAAAUCUGGUCUCUUCGGGGGCGGGAGUUCGAAUCUCCCUCUCAUCA